GUUCUUAACACAAAAUUGAAAGUGGUAUUCCAGUUAACUCGUGAAUGAUAAAAAGGGUGAGACACCCUUAUUGCUGAUAUGGACAAAGUUUUAGUGGUCUGAAUAGAAGAUCAAACUAGUUACAACAUUCCCUUAAGCCAAAGCCUAAUCCAGAGCAAGGCCCUAAAUUUCUUUAAUUUUAUAAAGACCAAGAGAGGUGAGGAAGCUGUAAUAUCUUGAAUAUUGCAGAAGUUGGAUCAUGAGGGUUAAGGACAGAAGCUGUCUCAACAACAUAAAAGUAUAAGGUGAAGCAUCAAGUGCUGAUGUAGUGGCUGUAGCAAGUUACUGAAAAGAUCAAGCUAAGAAAAUCAAUGAAGGUGGCUACAAUAAAUAACACAUUUUCAAUGUAGAUGAAACAGCCUUAUAUUGCAAGAAGAUGCCAUCUAAUACUUUCAUAACUAGAGAGAAGUUGAUUCCUAUCUUCAAAGCUAAUAUAAGUGGUGACUUUGCAUUGAAGACAAUGCUCCUUUUCCAUUCUGAAAAUCCUAGGUUCCUUAAGAAUUAUACUAAAUUUCCUCAGCCUGCGCUCUAUAAAUGAAACUACAAAGCCUGGAUGACAGUGCAUCUGUUUACAACAUGGUUUUCUGAAUGACAUAAGCCCACUGUUGAGACCUACUGCUUGGAAAAAAAAUUCCUGUCAAAAUGUUGCUGCUCAUUGAAAAUGCCCAAGAGCUGUGAUAGAGACCUACAUUGAGGUUAAUGUUGUUUUCAGGCCUGAUAACAUGACAUUCAUUCUGUGGCCCAUGGGUUAGGGAGUCAUUUCAAAUUUAUUUAAGAAAUAAAUUAUGUGAGGCUAUAGCUGCCAUUGGUAGUGAUUCUGCUGAUGACCCUGGGGAACGUAAAUUGAAAACACUCUGGAAAGGAUUCAUCAUUCUAAAUGCCAUUAAGAACAUCCAUGAUUCAUGGGUGGAGGUCAAGAUAUCAACAUUAACUGAGGUUUGGAAGAAGUUGAUUCCAACCACCAUGGAUGACUGUGAGAGAGGUUCAAGACUCCAUGGAGAAAGUAACUAGUGGAAAUAGUAAGAGAUAGAGUUAGAUGUGAAGCCUGAAGAUAUGAUUGAAUUGCUGUCGUCUGAUGAUAAAACAUUAUUGUUUGAGGAAUGUCUUCUUAUGGCUCUGAACAGGAACUUGUUUCUUGAGAUGGAAUCUAUUCCUGGUGAAGAUGCUAUGAAUAUUGUUGAAAUUGUGUUAGAAGACAUACAAUAUUUCAAAAAUUGAGUUGACAAAACAGUGUUAGGGUUUGAGAGGAUUGACUCCAAUUUUGAAAGAAGGUCUCUGGAUAAACGUCUAAAAAACAGCAUUGUCUGCCACAGAGACGUAUUUCAUGAGAGGAAAAGUCAAAAAUUUCAUUGUUGUCUUAUUUUAAUAAAUUACUAUAGGCACCCCAACUCCAGCCUUCACCACCCUGAUCAAAAGCCAUCAACAUCCAGGCAAAACACACCAGGAGCAUUAAGAUUAGGACUCAUUGAAGGCCCAGAUGAUCAUUAGUCUUUUAUUUUUAUUAACAUAAAGUAUUUCCAAAUUAAGAUUUGUGCAUUUUUUUUCCAGACUUAAUGCCAUUGCACAGGUUUCAGAGUAUAGUAUAGUGUAAAUGUAAGCUUUAUAUGCACUGGGAAACUAAAAUAUCUUGUACUUAUUGCUAUAUUUGUUUUAUGCAGUGAUCUGGAAUCAAACAUGCGAUAGCAUGGAUAUAUGCCUCUAUUUUACUUUUGCAAACUUUAAAAGAAAUUAGACUUGUUAAUAAAUUAUUAAGUCCCCAAAAUACUUUAGAAGAGGCCAGUGAAAGUGAAAGACCCUAAAAUUUGAAGCUUUAUUAGUUUCAUGGUAGAUCCACUUCAGGAUGAUUGUUGUAGGAACAAAUCUAAAAUUCUUAGAAAGUCCUAGUGAGAAUACUUGAGAAUAAUGACUGACAUGC
Molecule: long non-coding RNA, 1954 nt
Filed under: Marmota monax (woodchuck)
Lineage: Eukaryota; Metazoa; Chordata; Mammalia; Rodentia; Sciuridae
Source: RNAcentral